AGCCAAUGCAGUGCAUGCACUGUUGACCCAGUUAUGCGUCAUUGCUCAUGUGGUGGGACGAGCACAGAGGGUGUGCUGAUUCACUGCGAACAAACAACAUUGAUCCCAUUGCCAAAAGGGAAAAGUUUCUUCAGAUUUCUUUUGACACCUGUAGAUUAUUUUAAGGAGCUACUUGGAUUAUUCGAGCGCCACCUAACUGAAUGGCUGUUCAGUGGUUUAUGAAUUAAAAUGCAGUGGGCUCUGGAGAGAGUGCAUGUGUGCAGUGGAUGGACAGCGGCUCCGGUUCACUCUCGACAUGAAGAGAUUCAUCCGUGUGUCGCAGCUGGCCGCGAUUCUGCUCUACAUUCCUCUUGUACAGGUUUUAACCAUUCUGGGCAAUUCCCAUUCCAAAGUCAGUGUCGUUCUCUGGAGUGGAUGGUGGAGGUGGAGCAGGAGUCGAGCACAUCUACAAUCCCGGCUGUGUGCCGCUGCUGCGCUGCUCCUGAUGCUGCAAUGAUGACAAACUGGCCUGUUUCCCCGCCAGCACACACAACAUCAGCAUCCAGGCACAGACACUGUCACCUCAGUCACAUACGCUGCUAUUCUUUACUGUGGGACACAUUUAUAAAGAAUCUUCACACAGCUGUUUUCAUUUAACAGCAGUUCAUAGUGACUAAACAUCAACAAAAACAUCCGGGUGACUUCUGAACACACUGGAAUCAGGGUUAUUAACGAAAACUAAAGCUAAAACCAAA
Sinocyclocheilus rhinocerous is the source of this 734-nucleotide long non-coding RNA. RefSeq lists it as uncharacterized. The record is from RefSeq and is a predicted model, not a curated record. The transcript has 3 exons. Lineage: Eukaryota; Metazoa; Chordata; Actinopteri; Cypriniformes; Cyprinidae.